Molecule: long non-coding RNA, 568 nt
Organism: Sinocyclocheilus anshuiensis
Lineage: Eukaryota; Metazoa; Chordata; Actinopteri; Cypriniformes; Cyprinidae
Exons: 2
Source: RefSeq, a predicted model, not a curated record
UUCUGGUCCUCCUUUAUCCGCCAUUACCUUCCGAACUUGCAAGUCAGACAGAAAUGGCACCAUACAUUCCCUAAUAUAACCACAGGCACGAUAGUCAUGAUAAUGGAUCCCCAACAGCCCAGAGCACAUUGGCCUAUUGGGAAAGUAGUCCAGGUGCACCCCAGUCAAGACUCGCAAGUGAGACCAGUGGAUGUUCAAGUUCAAGGGAAGGUUUAUACUAGACCCGUAGCUCGACUUGUGGCCCUACCCCCCAUCCCAGAAGAUGAUACAGAGGAGCCCAAUACACCCAACGCAGCAUCAGUAACACACACGCAACCUUCUCAAGUGUCAAAUUGAUCACAAUUCGGGGGCGGCUGUACAAACGGCUUGCAUGCGUGGCCCCUUUAAGACUUGUUGCCCUUUUAAGAGUUGUUGCCCUUUUAAGACUUGUCACCAUUUUAAGAUUGCGCAGCAAAGUUUGAGAGAAGAGAUGCGAGCCGAUCCAAAUCCAGGUGUUAAUAUGUGUGCGUGCAUCCUGUAAAACCACACCUAUUACAUGCUCCAUAGCACAGUAAAGUCAUCAAAGAAA